UUCAAGGAUCCAAAUGGUAUAAAAUUCAAACCUUCUCUAAAUCCCAAUUUUCCUAAUACCAUUUUUUUCAAGACCAGAUCCUCUCUUUGUAACUCAAAGAAUCCCAACUCUAGACACUUUCCAUAGGUUGCUGCAACAUGACUUGUCAUGUAGGUCACUCAUUCCUACCAACAUGCUGCAAAUGAGUAAUCCUCAUCUUGAAAAUCAGUCUGAUCCACUCAGUAGUGGACCACAACUGAUGCUUACACGAGAUGACUGUCGAAAGCUUUAUUCGAGUUUUGAUUCAUUGGAAGCUUUUCAAGUGACCUUUUUCCUGCAUUUUUUGGCUUGGAAUUACUCAACUAAGUUCCUGCUAUAGCUGAUAGAUGGUGUGUUCAUGGCUAUAGCUAAUAGAUGGUGUGUUUGUGCCUCAUAGGUAUCCAUUUGGUCAUGAGGAACUUGUUGUUUGAGAGGACAUUGAUCAGUUCAGACAUGGUGAUUUUGGACUCUAGAUUUUGCCUUUCGUAGAAAUAGUGGGUUUGGAUGCAAAUUAGAGCACAGAUUGCAAUUUUGCAGGCCCUAAAACAAGAUUUGAGGUGCCGUCAACAAUGCUAACAGAAUCCUCCAGGUCAGAUUAUUGAUUGGAUGUGAUUUUAUUUAAAUGAUCUUGAUAAUCCAUUUUAUUUAAAUGAGCAGACCCGAAUGUGCGUCGGAGCUAUCCGGAUGUUGAGCGGGGGUCCCUGGAAGGUGAGAACCGCUGUUAUGACCAUGAUGAAGCUGUCCAUUUCCUAUGGACAACAUUGGAGUGGCCUGGCCAUUUGGACAGGCCAUAUUUAUGUAUU
Molecule: long non-coding RNA, 821 nt
Organism: Magnolia sinica
Lineage: Eukaryota; Viridiplantae; Streptophyta; Magnoliopsida; Magnoliales; Magnoliaceae
Exons: 3
Source: RefSeq, a predicted model, not a curated record